GAAGAGACUCGUCGUGGACGUAGAAGACACAUCACGCAUUUGUAUUACGUCAAGGAUGGCGUCAAGUAUAUGAGACAGAUUUUACGUGCAAGGAACGAGAAGGCAGGGAACGGUGUACGCGGAAGUGAAGGAGAACGCGUCCGGUGGCUACGAAUAUUCAUACCUGUACGUUACGGUGAAUCAUGUCGGAACGAUCGUGGUAGAGGACAAUCAAGAUACGUCUAAAACGCACCAAGCUAACGGAUCCACGAUGGAUUUCAACUUGUUACUGGAUAAUCACUAGGUGUAACUGAUAUACUGAUAACACAGCAUCUAAUGUAGCCUCAGUUUAUGAGCUGUUUCAAAAAUAUCACGCGAUGAGACAUCUCGCGAUGUAUUUUGAAUGAAUCGAUAAUUGCGCAAUAAUUUCUUUAAUUAAUACUUGUAAAUAGCGUUACUAAAAUAUGUAUACAAUGAAAUUUGAUAUAAUAUAAUUUUUAUUUAUUUAUUGUAUGUUUCUAUACACAUCUUUAUUCGGUGUUGAUAACAGAAGAUUGUUAAACGCCGCCAGUUUUAAAAUUUCACCCUUUUUUUAACUACUUUAUUUCUAUAAAUCACAAUUCAAUUAAACAUCCUAAUUCUAGUCAUUGACUAGAAUCUUUUCCUCCAAAAAUUAUGCCAUAGAAAAAUAUGGUUUUCUUACGGAAGUUCAUUUUCCUGAUAUUAUUUCCAUUCGUUAUGACAAAGUAAUAAUUUUUCAGUAAUUAUGCCUUUGAGAGAUUUUCCUAUCCAUUCCUAUUUGUUUGAAUUUCCUAGUUAAGUAUAAUACUGUUCAAAUAGACCGCUAGUAAUGGCCGAAACUGUGCGGCGUUCUCUAUUGGCUGAUCCCAAACUGAAACUCAUGAUGCGCAUUGCCUCA
Molecule: long non-coding RNA, 898 nt
Organism: Vollenhovia emeryi
Lineage: Eukaryota; Metazoa; Arthropoda; Insecta; Hymenoptera; Formicidae
Exons: 3
Source: RefSeq, a predicted model, not a curated record